UCCAUUAACCCCCGAUCAAUCCCAUUGAUCCCAUUGAUCCCAUCCGAUCGAUCUUAUCAAUCCCAUCGAUCCCAUCCGAUCAAUCCCAUUAAUCCCAUCUGAUCAAUCUUAUCGUUCCCAUUGAUCCCACCCGAUCGACCCCACGGCCCCCCCUUGCCCCGGCGCACCCUCGGACUCGGAGCCUUCCUCCUCGGCCUCCUCCUCCUCCUCGCUCUCCUCGCCGUCGCUCUCCUCCUCCUUCUCCACCUUCUGCCGCACGCUGGUGAACACCGACUGCAGCACGAUCGAGUCCUCGUAGAUCUGCCAGCGGUCACUCGCGGUCACUCGCGGUCACUCAUGGUCGGUCGUGGUCAGUCAUGGUCAGUUCUGGUCAGUCUUGGUCACUCAUGGUCACUUGUGGUCAGUCAUGGUCACUCCUGGUUAUCCAUCGUCAAUUCUGGUCACCCAUGGUCAGGCAUGGUCAUUUCUGGUCAUUUCUGGUCACUCAUGGUCAGUCUUGGUCACUCGUGGUCAGUCUUGGUCACUUAUGGUCAGUUCUGGUCACUCAUGGUCAGUUCUGGUCAGUCCUGGUCAUCCCUGGUCAUUCCAACUCAUUCCAGGCCAUUCCUGGUCACUCCUGGUCAGUUCUGGUCUUCCCUGGUCACUCUUGGACAUUCCUGGCCACCCCAG
RNAcentral lists this long non-coding RNA (669 nucleotides) under Junco hyemalis (dark-eyed junco). RNAcentral describes it as "lncRNA (ENSJHYG00000005879.1)". The record is from RNAcentral. Lineage: Eukaryota; Metazoa; Chordata; Aves; Passeriformes; Passerellidae.